UAAUUUCUACCCCUAUAAAAUAACUCCUACCUCCUAAAAUGAAAAAAAGAGCUAGAAGAAGAGACCCCUCCUUUCAAAACAGAGACGGCGCUGCUCUCUGCCAUCUUCAAUAGAGAUGAACGACUCUCCCCUUUGGAUAACAAAAAAUCUUAGCUUUCCCUCUUCUUCUACACCCACAAGCAGUCUUCUCUAUUUACUCUUGGCCCUCUGAAAAGUAUAGUUAAGAAUAAAUUUUGCAAUUCAAAAGCUCUACCUUAUACUUGAAAGAGCAAAAAUUCCGAAAGAAGAAAGAAAACAAACGAAAAUAGGACAGAAAAGGAAUUUCUGCAAUUAUUACGUAAGCAACCUCCACUUCCAUCGAGAUGUUGUGAGUUCGAUUCUCCCCAAGAGCAAGGUGGGAAAUUCUUGGAAGGAAGGAUGCCGGUGGUCUAUUUGGCUCGAUCCCAGGUAGGGGUAAGGUCUGUGUACAUACUACCCUCUUCAGACCCCAUUAAAUGAGAUUAUACUGAGUUGUUAUUAUUACGUAUGUCUUCUAUUAACUUGUAUUUAUUUUUUCAGAUUUGGCUUAGUAUAAAGGUUCAUCUUAUUGUGUCAUUGAAGUUCAUGUUAUUCCUGCUCAAGUUUCAAGACUACGUUGAUGUUUGAUGUCUUUCCGUACUCCAAAUUUGUGCACAAAAAAUGCAAAGAAAGUGAUAUUUUCCCUUUUUGGUCGCUUUUUUUUUUUACUUCUUAAAAUUUAAAAUCUAUUAGUUAUUUUGAAGAAUAUUGUUGCACCUCUGCUGCUCUAAUGAACGCCGUAGAUGCAAAUAUAUCAAAUUUUAACAUUGUUGAUUUUAUUAUGCUUUAGUAUUUAAUGUUCUUUUGCCACCUUAUCCCCCAGGAGAGUAGAAGCUAUGUUACGACUACCGAUUGAAUCUAAGUGAAGAUUUUCAAUUAAUAUUAUCUCCUGGUAUUGUUGAAACAGAUCCACGCUAGGCAG
RNAcentral lists this long non-coding RNA (979 nucleotides) under Nicotiana benthamiana. RNAcentral's name for it is "long non-coding RNA (NBEN_LNC014204)". The record is from RNAcentral. Lineage: Eukaryota; Viridiplantae; Streptophyta; Magnoliopsida; Solanales; Solanaceae.